UACACUCCUGCGGGAGGCAGCAGUAGGGAAUCUUCCACAAUGGGUGCAAACCUGAUGGAGCAAUGCCGCGUGAGUGAAGAAGGUCUUCGGAUCGUAAAGCUCUGUUGUUAGAGAAGAACACGUGCUAGGUAACUACUAGCGCCUUGACGGUAUCUAACCAGAAAGUCACGGCUAACUACGUGCCAGCAGCCGCGGUAAUACGUAGGUGACAAGCGUUGUCCGGAUUUAUUGGGCGUAAAGGGAGCGCAGGCGGUCUGUUUAGUCUAAUGUGAAAGCCCACGGCUUAACCGUGGAACGGCAUUGGAAACUGACAGACUUGAAUGUAGAAGAGGAAAAUGGAAUUCCAAGUGUAGCGGUGGAAUGCGUAGAUAUUUGGAGGAACACCAGUGGCGAAGGCGAUUUUCUGGUCUAACAUUGACGCUGAGGCUCGAAAGCGUGGGGAGCGAACAGGAUUAGAUACCCGUGUAGUCCCAU
Molecule: ribosomal RNA, 474 nt
Filed under: uncultured organism
Description: partial 16S ribosomal RNA
Rfam family: Bacterial small subunit ribosomal RNA
Source: RNAcentral